Molecule: ribosomal RNA, 468 nt
Filed under: uncultured bacterium
Lineage: Bacteria
Description: partial 16S ribosomal RNA
Rfam family: Bacterial small subunit ribosomal RNA
Source: RNAcentral
GACGAACGCUGGCGGCGUGCUUAACACAUGCAAGUCGAACGGAAAGGCCCUGCUUUUGUGGGUUGCUCGAGUGGCGAACGGGUGAGUAACACGUGAGUAACCUGCCCUUGACUGUGGGAUAACACCAGGAAACUGGGUCUCUUACCGGAUAGGACCUCCUGCUGCAUGGGUGGGGUUGGAAAGUUUCGGCGGUUGGGGAUGGACUCGCGGCUUUGCAGCUUGUUGGUGGGGUAGUGGCUUACCAAGGCUUUGACGGGUAGCCGGCCUGAGAGGGUGACCGGCCACAUUGGGACUGAGAUACGGCCCAGACUCCUACGGGAGGCAGCAGUGGGGAAUAUUGCACAAUGGGCGGAAGCCUGAUGCAGCAACGCCGCGUGCGGGAUGACGGCCUUCGGGUUGUAAACCGCUUUCGCCUGUGACGAAGCGUGAGUGACGGUAAUGGGUAAAGAAGCACCGGCUAACUACGUG